This 209-nucleotide unclassified non-coding RNA is filed under the name Hevea brasiliensis (rubber tree). The record is from RNAcentral. Lineage: Eukaryota; Viridiplantae; Streptophyta; Magnoliopsida; Malpighiales; Euphorbiaceae.
GUCAAAUCUGCAUUGCUUGUAACCAGUGUUAUCCAUGAAAAGAUCCUUCAAUCAGUGGCCCUGCAAAUCAGGACUUGGGCCAAUGUUCCUAGGGGCAGUGGCUUGGGAACUUCUAGCAUCUUAGCAGCAGCCGUUGUUAAAGGGCUUUUACGUAUUACUGAUGGAGACGAAAGUAACGAAAAUGUCACUAGACUUGUUUUAGUCCUAGA